This 424-nucleotide ribosomal RNA is filed under the name uncultured prokaryote. RNAcentral's name for it is "bacterial SSU rRNA". It matches the Rfam family "Bacterial small subunit ribosomal RNA", at positions 355 to 796 of the family's 1533-position model. The record is from RNAcentral.
UGGGGAAUAUUGGACAAUGGGCGCAAGCCUGAUCCAGCCAUGCCGCGUGGAUGAAGAAGGCCCUAGGGUUGUAAAGUCCUUUCACCGCCGAGGAUAAUGACGGUAGGCGGAGAAGAAGCCCCGGCUAAUUUCGUGCCAGCAGCCGCGGUAAUACGAAAGGGGCUAGCGUUGUUCGGAAUUACUGGGCGUAAAGCGCGCGUAGGCGGCCUUGUAAGUUGGGGGUGAAAUCCCGGAGCUCAACUCCGGAACUGCCUCCAAAACUACAAAGCUUGAGGAUGUGAGAGGAUAGUGGAAUUCCGAGUGUAGAGGUGAAAUUCGUAGAUAUUCGGAAGAACACCAGUGGCGAAGGCGACUGUCUGGCACAUUUCUGACGCUGAGGUGCGAAAGCGUGGGGAGCAAACAGGAUUAGAUACCCGCGUAGUCC